RNAcentral lists this ribosomal RNA (406 nucleotides) under uncultured bacterium. RNAcentral describes it as "bacterial SSU rRNA". It matches the Rfam family "Bacterial small subunit ribosomal RNA", at positions 355 to 753 of the family's 1533-position model. The record is from RNAcentral.
UGGGGAAUAUUGGACAAUGGGCGCAAGCCUGAUCCAGCCAUACCGCGUGGGUGAAGAAGGCCUUCGGGUUGUAAAGCCCUUUUGUUGGGAAAGAAAUCCAGCUGGCUAAUACCCGGUUGGGAUGACGGUACCCAAAGAAUAAGCACCGGCUAACUUCGUGCCAGCAGCCGCGGUAAUACGAAGGGUGCAAGCGUUACUCGGAAUUACUGGGCGUAAAGCGUGCGUAGGUGGUCGUUUAAGUCCGUUGUGAAAGCCCUGGGCUCAACCUGGGAACUGCAGUGGAUACUGGGCGACUAGAGUGUGGUAGAGGGUAGCGGAAUUCCUGGUGUAGCAGUGAAAUGCGUAGAGAUCAGGAGGAACAUCCAUGGCGAAGGCAGCUACCUGGACCAACACUGACACUGAGGCA